GACGAACGCUGGCGGCGUGCUUAACACAUGCAAGUCGAACGGCAAGGCCCUGCUUUUGUGGGGUGCUCGAGUGGCGAACGGGUGAGUAACACGUGAGUAACCUGCCCUUGUCUUUGGGAUAACUUCAGGAAACUGGGGCUACUACCGGAUAGGAGCUCCUGCUGCAUGGUGGGCGUUGGAACGUUUCGGCGGUUGGGGAUGGACUCGCGGCUUAUCAGCUUGUUGGUGGGGUAGUGGCUUACCAAGGCUGUGACGGGUAGCCGGCAUGAGAGGGUGAACGGCGUCAUUGGGACUAAGAGACGGCCCAGACGCCUACGUGAGGCAGCAGUGGGGAAUAUUGCACAAUGGGCGGAAGCCUGAUGCAGCAACGCCGCGUGCGGGAUGACGUCCUUCUGGUUGUAAACCGCUUUCGCCUGUGACGAAGCGUGAGUGACGGUAAUGGGUAAAGAAGCACCGGCUAACUACGUG
Molecule: ribosomal RNA, 468 nt
Filed under: uncultured bacterium
Lineage: Bacteria
Description: partial 16S ribosomal RNA
Rfam family: Bacterial small subunit ribosomal RNA
Source: RNAcentral